UGAGGGAAUAUUGGGUCAAUGGGGCGAGAGCCUGAACCAGCCAAGUAGCGUGCAGGAUGACGGCCCUAUGGGUUGUAAACUGCUUUUAUAAGGGAAUAAAGUGGGUCACGUGUGACUUUUUGCAUGUACCUUAUGAAUAAGGACCGGCUAAUUCCGUGCCAGCAGCCGCGGUAAUACGGAAGGUCCGGGCGUUAUCCGGAUUCAUUGGGUUUAAAGGGAGCGUAGGCCGCCUUUUAAGCGUGUUGUGAAAUGUCCUGGCUCAACCAGGGCACUGCAGCGCGAACUGGAGGGCUUGAGUGCGCACGACGCAGGCGGAAUUCGUGGUGUAGCGGUGAAAUGCUUAGAUAUCACGAAGAACCCCGAUUGCGAAGGCAGCUUGCGGAGAGCG
This 388-nucleotide ribosomal RNA is filed under the name uncultured Prevotella sp. RNAcentral's name for it is "bacterial SSU rRNA". It matches the Rfam family "Bacterial small subunit ribosomal RNA", at positions 354 to 736 of the family's 1533-position model. Lineage: Bacteria; Pseudomonadati; Bacteroidota; Bacteroidia; Bacteroidales; Prevotellaceae. The record is from RNAcentral.